This 236-nucleotide unclassified non-coding RNA is filed under the name Hevea brasiliensis (rubber tree). Lineage: Eukaryota; Viridiplantae; Streptophyta; Magnoliopsida; Malpighiales; Euphorbiaceae. The record is from RNAcentral.
UCUCUCUCUCUCUCUCUAAAAACUCCAAAACCCAACUAGAUCAUUUCAGCUGGGUUUUAAUUCAUCUUCUUCCGGGGUUCUAUUUCUGCAAUGGUUGGUAGAUGUGAGGUAAUCCCAGUGGUGUACUUUGGGUUUUCUGGCUAGCCUCACCAAUAGGAAUGUGACGCGUGGAGUUCUACACCUCGGAUUCGUUUCUCGUUGGUACUUCCUACCUUCUGGAUUUUCGUGGGAAAGCG